GCGGGCUUAGCUCAGUUGGGAGAGCGUCAGACUGAAGUCAAAACUUCACCGUCUAUCUGAAGGUCGUGUGUUCGAUCCACACAGACCGCA
Molecule: non-coding RNA, 90 nt
Organism: Xylariales sp. PMI_506
Lineage: Eukaryota; Fungi; Ascomycota; Sordariomycetes; Xylariales
Source: the annotation of a GenBank genome assembly